CGGAGAGGUUGUCCUUUUCUGGCAUCAGCGUUGCGGCUCGAGGCACAGCUGGUCCUGUGUCUGCUGUCCAUUGCCGCUAAGGCCUGUUGCUGCCAUUCAAGGAUCUCUCUCUCUCUCUCUCUCUUUCAUGCCGCUCUCUCCACCCCAUCUUGGGACUGCCGGCUCUAAGAAUUCCUGCUACAACACUGAAUUCAACCAGGAGGUGAUGUCACAUGCAAUCAGAAACUAUGCCACUGGUGAAGAGAUAUAUUGAGCCCUGCCUGGUUAACCUCCAGUGAGGUUAUUAGAGAAUUGGGAGAGGCUCAAAUCAGCAUCCUGCACAUAGUCAUCAAACCAUUGUGAAGUCUUGACUGGAUUGUGAAGGAUAUUUGAAAAGUAUUUUAAAGUCUACCAGAUCCUCCAUGUGAGUGACCAUGCAGCAAAAGAGUGAGGGUCCUCUCAGUGAUUAAGGUAACAUAGUGAUUAAGGUAAGGUAGUGGGACUGUGCUAUGUCAAACCCUAAAUUUGGCUUUCAGGAUGAGGAAGUAUUAAUUCUUCCACUGAUAUCUCAAAAGGUGAUCUGGACAAAGGAACAGGUAUCUCAGUCAGUGAUGUUAAGGAACCUCAUGUUGCAGCACAGAAGAUUUUUCAUCGUUGGAAGUUAAGGUUAGUUCACUUUCAUUGAUUCCUCCCUACACUGGACUAAAGCAUUUAAUCUGGAAACGCAUAGGUCUCUAUAUAGCUUAUCAUAACUUCUAUCCAUAGAAAGGGGCUUUCAACAACCUGUCAGUAUAUUGUGAAAUGUCUCCUAUAUCAACUGGUAAUAAGAAAUCAGAAUUACAGCAUUAAUGAAGUAUCACCUAGAUUGAACUAAGCAGGAAAAUUUUAGAUGGUAGUUUACUAUCACAACCAAUACAUAACGGUUCCUGAAUCCUAAAAAGGUGGAGUUCUUUAUGGUAUUAGUGCCUAUCUUCAAAUUACUUGCUCUCUGGAAAGAUGCUGAUAAAGUUUUGUCUGGCACCAUAGUAUCCCUGCUCUAUGGGAACCAUAUCUGUACAAUAGAAUCUCCACCCACUGGCAAGAUGAUAGCUCCAAGGACCGUCAUCUUCCAAGUGGGCAUGAAGCUGUUAGCUUUUUUUUUUUUUUUUUUUUUUUUUUUGUGCUUCUUAGUCAACUGGGGUUUUUCUGCUGUGGUUCUGAACCAUUUACUUGGUAGACGGGGUUAUAUAUUCCGAGUUAACCACUACUGGGUUAAGGGACCUAAUGUUAUUAGUAUCCACUUAACUAAUUUCAAACAUACUUCCUAGGACACAGUUUCAUAAAACUAAGGUUUAACAGACUGAAACCCAAAAUUAGUAAUAUAACUUCCCUUAGCCGUUUUUAAUGAAUGCCUUAGUAAUACUUUGGCUUCUUGAAGAGAAGCUAAUGCCAGAACCCUUUGAAAUCGUCCAUCUGCAGCCAGGCGUGGUGGCUCACACCUGUAAUCCCAGCACUUUGCGAGGCUAGGAAGGGCAGGUCAUGAGGUCAGGAGUUCAACACCAGCCUGCCCAACAUAGUGAAACCCCAUCUCUACUUAA
Sapajus apella (tufted capuchin) is the source of this 1556-nucleotide long non-coding RNA. RefSeq lists it as uncharacterized. NCBI's taxonomy places the organism in Eukaryota, Metazoa, Chordata, Mammalia, Primates, Cebidae. The record is from RefSeq and is a predicted model, not a curated record. The transcript is spliced from 5 exons.